Molecule: transfer RNA, 74 nt
Filed under: Alopias vulpinus (thresher shark)
Lineage: Eukaryota; Metazoa; Chordata; Chondrichthyes; Lamniformes; Alopiidae
Description: tRNA-Lys
Rfam family: tRNA
About the family: Transfer RNA (tRNA) molecules are approximately 80 nucleotides in length.
Source: RNAcentral
CACUAAGAAGCUAAAUUGGGUCUAGCAUUAGCCUUUUAAGCUAAAAACUGGUGAUUCCCUACCACCCUUAGUGA